GAAUACCCGCUGAACUUAAGCAUAUCAAUAAGCGGAGGA
RNAcentral lists this ribosomal RNA (39 nucleotides) under Trichoderma hamatum. Its description in RNAcentral is "partial 28S ribosomal RNA". The record is from RNAcentral. RNAcentral also lists the same sequence under 1 other name. Lineage: Eukaryota; Fungi; Ascomycota; Sordariomycetes; Hypocreales; Hypocreaceae.